RNAcentral lists this long non-coding RNA (408 nucleotides) under Phoenix dactylifera (date palm). RNAcentral describes it as "long non-coding RNA (PDAC_LNC004673)". The record is from RNAcentral. Lineage: Eukaryota; Viridiplantae; Streptophyta; Magnoliopsida; Arecales; Arecaceae.
UGUUUGAGACAUGGCACUACUACUAUAGAUGACCUUGCACGUGUAGUUGGAUACUUGGGCAUAUCUAGAUUUGAGUCACACACUAGAUCUUAUUCCACACAAGGAAGCUAUGACCCACAUGGAAAUCCUUCAUUCAUGUGUCAUAUUCAAGUGCCUAGUAACCUCCACAGUCUUAGGUAGUAUACAUGUCAGAUUUUGCUGCCUCGAUCUUCAGAUGGCCAAUCCAGUAUGAGACAGAGGAUCAGUAUUAGGACGGCUAUCCAAAAGGUGGAGCUUAUAGACCACAGGAAUGGGCAACAAAUUAUCUGAAAAUUGAAGUAAUAUCCCUAACCCAGAUUAUGACCAGGAUUCCAGCAUCUGCGAGAAAUAAGCACUCUACAAAAUUUAGAUAUUGAUACGCAUUUUGUA